GUGCACGCUGGCGGUAGGCCUAACCCAUGCAAGUCGAACGGCAGCACAGUAAGAGCUUGCUCUUACGGGUGGCGAGUGGCGGACGGGUGAGGAAUACAUCGGAAUCUACUUUUUCGUGGGGGAUAACGUAGGGAAACUUACGCUAAUACCGCAUACGACCUACGGGUGAAAGCAGGGGAUCUUCGGACCUUGCGCGAUUGAAUGAGCCGAUGUCGGAUUAGCUAGUUGGCGGGGUAAAGGCCCACCAAGGCGACGAUCCGUAGCUGGUCUGAGAGGAUGAUCAGCCACACUGGAACUGAGACACGGUCCAGACUCCUACGGGAGGCAGCAGUGGGGAAUAUUGGACAAUGGGCGCAAGCCUGAUCCAGCCAUACCGCGUGGGUGAAGAAGGCCUUCGGGUUGUAAAGCCCUUUUGUUGGGAAAGAAAAGCAGCAGGUUAAUACCCCGCUGUUCUGACGGUACCCAAAGAAUAAGCACCGGUUAACUUCGUG
RNAcentral lists this ribosomal RNA (491 nucleotides) under uncultured bacterium. Its description in RNAcentral is "partial 16S ribosomal RNA". It matches the Rfam family "Bacterial small subunit ribosomal RNA", at positions 29 to 507 of the family's 1533-position model. The record is from RNAcentral.